This 403-nucleotide ribosomal RNA is filed under the name uncultured bacterium. Its description in RNAcentral is "partial 16S ribosomal RNA". It matches the Rfam family "Bacterial small subunit ribosomal RNA", at positions 30 to 526 of the family's 1533-position model. The record is from RNAcentral.
AUUGAACGCUGGCGGCAGGCCUAACACAUGCAAGUCGAGCGAGCGGCGGACGGGGGAGUAAUGUAUGGGGACUGCCCGAUAGAGGGGGGUAACUCCUGGAAACAGUAGCUAAUACCGCAUACUAUCGGAUAACCCAUAUGGGAUUAGCGAGUAGGUGAGGUAAUGGCUCACCUAGGCGACGAUCCCUCGCUGGUCUGAGAGGAUGAUCAGCCACACUGGGACGGAGACACGGCCCAGACUCCUACGGAGGCAGCAGUGGGGAAUAUUGCACAAUGGGCGCAAGCCGGAUGCAGCCAUGCCGCGUGUAUGAAGAAGGCCUUAGGGUUGUAAAGUACUUUCAGUCGGGAGGCGUUACCGACAGAAGAAGCACCGGCUAACUCCGUGCCAGCAGCCGCGGUAAUUC